Molecule: unclassified non-coding RNA, 413 nt
Filed under: soil metagenome
Description: partial contains 5.8S ribosomal RNA, internal transcribed spacer 2, and large subunit ribosomal RNA
Rfam family: 5.8S ribosomal RNA (bases 1-120)
Source: RNAcentral
GAUGAAGAACGUAGCGAAAUGCGAUACGUAGUGUGAAUUGCAGAAUUCCGUGAACCAUCGAAUCUUUGAACGCAUAUUGCGCCCGAGGCUUCGGCCGAGGGCAUGUCUGCCUCAGCGUCGGUUUUACCCCCUCGCUUUAUCAACUUAGGAUGAAGCCUCCGGGCUGUUAAAGCGGAUCUGGCCUUCCCAACUUAGCAAUAGGUUGGGUCGGCUGAAGUGCAGAGGCUAGAGCUUGGACCCGAUAUGGGCUUCAACUGGAUAGGUAGCACCAGCCUCGGCUGACUACACGAAGUUGUAGCUUGUGGACUUUGUUAGGGGCCAAGCAGGAAACAUGCUUGAUUGCAUGCUUAAACUUUCGACCUGAGCUCAGGCAAGGCUACCCGCUGAACUUAAGCAUAUCAAUAAGCGGAGGA